UAGAAAGGACAGGGUAACUGUGGAGCAGAUAAGUGUGCUGCAUGCCAGUCACACCAUAAGCAACCGUGCUGCCUGUACAGUAUGCAGAGCUGCUCAGAUGACUGGCAGUUGUUGCAAAAAACCUUUCUAGCAUUUCCAAUUAAUGUUUCAUCAUGUGACUGCAUCAAUCACAAGUUUGUGUGUUGUCAAGUCCAAUAAAUGUUGCUUCACUAUGUACUGCUAUGGUGGAAAAAGUUUGCAAGGUGCCUCACCCGGCUGAGCAAGUGGACUGUUGUUGAAGUUUUCAGAGCAGCCUUCAAUACCAAAGUGAACUUGUACACAAAGCAGCUCACCCUCAUUUUAAAAUGGUUCCUCUUUGAGGAGGAAGUGUAAAGACACAUUUUCAAAAACUGAUUACCGUGACUUUUAUAUGUGAGCAACUGAAGUUACUGUAUGUGUAACUUAUAGAAUUAUAGAAAGACAGGAGUCUUCCCACUGUAUCUCUUAAUUUUGAGUAGUUCAAGAUUUUAAAUGUCUAAUAGGGGAAUAAAUUUGGCUUACAGUUUAGCUCAAGGGUGUCUACAUGGAGAUUCAUAACACACAAGUAGGUUAUUGGAUAUCAUUUACUACUUAUGAAGCAAUAUUUGAUUAUUUUUAAAUAAUAUUAUUUGCAAGAUGAUUGUCAGAAAGUCCUUUGUGAGGUUGAAUUGCGACCUCUAAUAGCAGAAUAUUAAAAAUCACUUGUGGAACUUUUCCUACAUAUUUCCGGGUGAAAGUUCAGGCUUCGCACGUCUUUCGUUCCGUUGUUUGCUUGCUGCACGUUGUGGGAAUAGUUUGUCCUUUUCUCUUAUCACUUGAGCCAUUAAUGCUGUGCGUCCUUGCGGAAAAACCACAGCAACAAGAAUUAAAGUACUUUCAGAGUUCAGAUUGUGCUUGAAAUUAAUCUUUACCUCGAUAUUGGAAAGGGGAGUUUACAAACAAAGUUGUACCACCGUGGAGUUAAUAGCGGCACCUCCCGUGACCAGACAUCUGAUCGUGUCUACGGUCGUUUGGACUUUA
Erpetoichthys calabaricus (reedfish) is the source of this 1038-nucleotide long non-coding RNA. RefSeq lists it as uncharacterized. The transcript is spliced from 2 exons. The record is from RefSeq and is a predicted model, not a curated record. Lineage: Eukaryota; Metazoa; Chordata; Cladistia; Polypteriformes; Polypteridae.